CCUACGGGUGGCAGCAGUGAGGAAUAUUGGUCAAUGGGCGAGAGCCUGAACCAGCCAAGUCGCGUGAGGGAAGACUGUCCUACGGAUUGUAAACCUCUUUUAUCAGGGAGAAAGGAGCGCCACGAAUGGUUCGUCGUGAGUACCUGAAGAAAAAGCAUCGGCUAACUCCGUGCCAGCAGCCGCGGUAAUACGGAGGAUGCGAGCGUUAUCCGGAUUUAUUGGGGUUACAGGGUGCGCAGGCGGAAGCGGCAGUUCGGCGGUAAAGUUUCGGGCCCAAACCUAACCGGGCCGUUGAAACUGGUCGUCUAGAGUGGGGGAGAAGUAUGCGGAAUGCGUGGUGUAGCGGUGAAAUGCAUAGAUAUCACGCAGAACUCCGAUUGCGAAGGCAGCAUACCGGCGCCCAACUGACGCUCAUGCACGAAAGCGUGGGUAUCGAACAGGAUUAGAUACCCGGGUAGUC
Molecule: ribosomal RNA, 460 nt
Filed under: uncultured bacterium
Lineage: Bacteria
Description: partial 16S ribosomal RNA
Rfam family: Bacterial small subunit ribosomal RNA
Source: RNAcentral